GACGAACGCUGGCGGCGUGCCUAAUACAUGCAAGUAGAACGCUGAAGGAGGAGCUUGCUUCUCUGGAUGAGUUGCGAACGGGUGAGUAACGCGUAGGUAACCUGCCUGGUAGCGGGGGAUAACUAUUGGAAACGAUAGCUAAUACCGCAUAACAGUAGAUAUCGCAUGAUAUCUACUUGAAAGGUGCAAUUGCAUCACUACCAGAUGGACCUGCGUUGUAUUAGCUAGUUGGUGAGGUAACGGCUCACCAAGGCGACGAUACAUAGCCGACCUGAGAGGGUGAUCGGCCACACUGGGACUGAGACACGGCCCAGACUCCUACGGGAGGCAGCAGUAGGGAAUCUUCGGCAAUGGACGGAAGUCUGACCGAGUAACGCCGCGUGAGUGAAGAAGGGUUUCGGAUCGUAAAGCUCUGUUGUAAGAGAAGAACGAGGGUGAGAGUGGAAAGUUCACACUGUGACGGUAGCUUACCAGAAAGAGACGGCUAACUACGUG
RNAcentral lists this ribosomal RNA (495 nucleotides) under uncultured bacterium. RNAcentral describes it as "partial 16S ribosomal RNA". It matches the Rfam family "Bacterial small subunit ribosomal RNA", at positions 28 to 507 of the family's 1533-position model. The record is from RNAcentral.